This 211-nucleotide long non-coding RNA is filed under the name Olea europaea (common olive). RNAcentral describes it as "long non-coding RNA (OEUR_LNC011733)". Lineage: Eukaryota; Viridiplantae; Streptophyta; Magnoliopsida; Lamiales; Oleaceae. The record is from RNAcentral.
GCCAAAGUGAUUGAGGAGCCACAACGAUUCUAGGACAAGAACAAGAAAUGGGGAUGUCAUAGCUUCCUAAGGCAUUAUGCUGGAGAAACUUCAACGGGAAAUGCGAUCAAACGGCCGCAUGGAGGCAGUCGAAAUCCAACUAAUGUCGUAUAUCGGAUUGAGCAGAACUAAACUAGCACCGUUCGUGCUGCUGAAAUGGAGGAGGAAAUCC